This 250-nucleotide ribosomal RNA is filed under the name uncultured bacterium. RNAcentral describes it as "partial 16S ribosomal RNA". It matches the Rfam family "Bacterial small subunit ribosomal RNA", at positions 524 to 773 of the family's 1533-position model. The record is from RNAcentral.
UACGGGGGGUGCAAGCGUUGUUCGGAAUCAUUGGGCGUAAAGGGCGUGUAGGCGGCUAGAUAAGUCAGAUGUGAAAUCCCUGGGCUUAACCCAGGAAGUGCAUUUGAAACUGUUUGGCUUGAGUAGGGGAGAGGAAAGUGGAAUUCCUGGUGUAGAGGUGAAAUUCGUAGAUAUCAGGAGGAACACCGGUGGCGAAGGCGACUUUCUGGCCCUAUACUGACGCUGAGACGCGAAAGCGUGGGUAGCAAAC